Cucumis melo (muskmelon) is the source of this 1730-nucleotide long non-coding RNA. RefSeq lists it as uncharacterized. Lineage: Eukaryota; Viridiplantae; Streptophyta; Magnoliopsida; Cucurbitales; Cucurbitaceae. The transcript has 5 exons. The record is from RefSeq and is a predicted model, not a curated record.
UGCUUGAUUUAGCACAGGGAGAGAAGUAUGCAUCUUUUUGAGAUUCUAAUUUCUAACAUCUAUUGAUUUUUGGAAUAUAAGGUUUUUGAGAGGAAUAUUCAUUUCUCGAAUCUUCUGUUCAAUAGACAUAAAUUUUAAAUCCAUUUCUUUGAGUCUGUCCACGACAACCAUAUCACAGGAAGAAUCCAUCUUUGUCUUGUUAUAUUUGCAUUUUUUUAGAAAUGUUGCUUUAUGCUUAAUUACUAGCACUGAUGCAAUUACCAAAAAAGAAAAUGAAUAAAUAAAGACAUAGGUUAAAAUUGAAGGCUUACAGCAAAACAAACUCAAAAGUCAAGCCACACCUAACUAAUCUACGGAAAAAAUGAUGCAAAUGAUCAUAAGAAGUACCUUUAAACUUCAAUUCUUAACAUUGAUAACUGGAAAUGUGUAGAUUAUCCUUGUGGUAGUCUUUACAAGUAGGAAAGGUAUCAAAUAUUUCGAAAACAAAUGGCGACUAAUCUUUCUGCCUCUUUUCCAAUUUGUCCCAAGAACCAUCUGAAUCUAUGUGUUAUGUAAGAAAUUUUCCAGGAAUGUUGCUCCUAAUGACAUAACAGGAACCGGGCAGUUCAGAGGCACAUUCAAUUUCCUUCUCUUCAUUCUUGCCAGUCAUGUGUUUGGAGCAUUUUGGUACUGCUUCUCAGUUCUAAGAGAACUGUAUUGCUGGCAAAGUGCAUGCAAAUUUAACAGUGGAUGCAGAGUGAAUUCAUUUUUUUUGUGAGGAUAUCACAGGCAAUGAACAGUUUGUUGAUAAGUUUUGCCCUAUCAAUCCACCUAAUUCAACAAUAUUCGAUUUUGGCUUAUUUCUUAAUGCCCAUCAAUCUGGUGUCACGAGGGUAAAUGAUUUUCCCGUAAAGUUAUUAUAUUGCUUCUCUUGGGGACUACGUGCAUUAAGCUCAUUUGGGUCAAACCUGACUACAAGUAGCUAUGCAUGCGAAAACAUCUUUGCUACUCUCGUUACCAUUGUUGGGAUACUUCUAGUUGUUUAUCUUAUCGGCAACUUGCAGGUAUAUCUACAAUCCUCAACUUUAAGAUCAGAGGAGAAACGAAGGACAAUGGAAAAAAAAAGGCGUUGAAAUUGAUUUUUGGAUAGAUUAUUAUAAAUUCCAGAAGAAGAAGGAAAUCAAAGAGUUUGUAAUAGACAAGUUUGAAUGGCAAAAUGAUGUAAAUUUGAAAACACUGCUCGACGUGUUUCCAUCUCCAUUCGUUGAGGAGAUAAAGAAAGAACUUUGCUGGGAUAUCCUAAAAGGGGUUCCAAUGCUUAAGGAAUUUGAAGAGGAGAAGUUAAAAAAGAUGAUGAAAGAUAUGAAGCCAAUGGUUUUUGGAGAGCAGAGCUAUAUUAUUCGAGAGGGGGAGCCUAUUGAGCAGAUGCUAUUGUUCACAAAAGGUAUGGGAUUGACAUUUAGCAAGAGCACUGGAACUAGAACAACGAUUAACACUUUUGGAAAAUGUGAUUUGUUUGGGGAGCAACUAUUGGAUUGGGCAGCAGGAAAUCUUCCUACAUUUGAAAUUCCUUUGUCCAAAUGUACUCUCAAGACACAGACUCAAAUGGAAGCCUUUUCUCUCAAGGCUAUCAAUCCACAGUAUCAUACCAAGUGGGACAAAAAUAUGUAUAGGUUAAGUUAAAAUUUAAUCCCGCUUGAACUUUAUGUUUGUGUUCCUAUGUUAUAAACUAAUUUAAAACGACUAGAAAA